UUGUGUCGUAUGAAAUUCGUGAUAUAUGUUCAAAAAUACAUUUACUUACUGAUUUAAGUAACUUUCAAACCUCAAACAAUCGGCCGCUUAUCUGUCCUUUAUUUGGUGAUUACGAGUUCAAUAAUGUAACAUUCAAUGCUAAUAACUUUGGGACCACGUUUAGUUUUCCAACAGAAAAAUGGUGGGAACAUUAUUGGAAAUUCCAAAUUAUAUUCUCCUCUAAAGAUAGACAGCAAGUGGUUAAAACAUCUGCAGAUUUUUAUUUUAUAGAGUUUCGAAGCCGAAAUCGUCCACGCAAAAACUAAUAAUAACAAUUAUUGGCAAUCUAUUACAAUAGUAGAACAAUAAGCUUAAUUGAUAAUACUAUUGGAAGUUAGUACACACAUAGGAAACAAAGAGUGAAGAUGCC
This is a long non-coding RNA of Metopolophium dirhodum (rose-grain aphid), 409 nucleotides long. RefSeq lists it as uncharacterized. Lineage: Eukaryota; Metazoa; Arthropoda; Insecta; Hemiptera; Aphididae. The transcript has 3 exons. The record is from RefSeq and is a predicted model, not a curated record.